Non-coding RNA from Hordeum vulgare subsp. vulgare (domesticated barley), 86 nucleotides. The record is from Rfam. NCBI's taxonomy places the organism in Eukaryota, Viridiplantae, Streptophyta, Magnoliopsida, Poales, Poaceae.
CACAUGAAUUUGAGUGUUGGAUGGGACCAAAUCUUACUGCAGGGUGUCACAAGAUUUGGUUUCCUCCAAUAUCUUAUGUUCAUAUG